UCUACAUAAACCAACUAGUGAACUACUUUCACUUUGUAAACAACGUGAAUGGGUGCUUUCUUUUAUCUACCCCCGAUCUUUUCGGCCCGUGUCAUUUGGAUCCUUGUGAAUUUUAGAUGAAAUUGAUAAUAAGGGACAGAGUGGUUAUCAGCAGUAUACAAUAUAUAGAAUUAAACACAAUAAUAAUUUAACUAUUUAUUUCCAUAUAAAUAGAGAAAAAAAAUCUAAAAAAUUUUUAACUCCUAAGAUAUUACUAUAAACUUAAAUUUUCAAUUGAAAUUCAAAACUUUUUAAGAAUUAGGUGAGCAAAUUUGUAAUGAAUUGUAAUUUUAUUAGUUAUGUGAUAAAUAACAUUUUCUAUUUUUUUUGAAAAAUUUUUUUUUUGAUAAUUUAUGGAAAACAAAAUACCAGCUUUUGAACUUGGUCAUUUUUUGGCAAAAUAUUGCAUAUAGGGUACCAUCAUUGUAUGGAUAAGUCCUCCUACAGUUUUCAAAAUAGGAAGUUGUUCUUUUGCAGAUCAAUUAAACAUAUAUCAGAGGUAUGCAUAUUGCUAGGAUUUUGAUUUUUGAUAAUUUAUGAAAAUAAUACCAGCUUUUGAACUUGGUCAUUUUUUGGCAAAAUAUUGCAUAUAGGGUACCCUCAUUGUACGGAUAAGUCCUCCUACAGUUUUCAAAAUAGGAAGUUGUUCUUUUGCAGAUCAGUUAUACAUAUAUCAGAGGUAUGCAUAUUGCUAGGAUUUUGAUUUUCGAUAAUUUAUGAAAAAAAUACCAGCUUUUGAACUUUGUCAUUUUUUGGCAAAAUAUUGCAUAUAGGGUACCCUCAUUGUACGGAUAACUCCUCCUACAGUUCUCAAGAUAGGAAAUUUUUCUUUUGCAGAUCAGUUAUACAUAUAUCAGAGGUGUGCUUAUUGCUAGGAGUUUGGUUACUGAUAAUUUAUGAAAAAAAAUUGCUUGUAUUUUGGUUACUGAUAAUUUAUGAAAAAAAAAUUAAGUCAUUUUUUGGCAAAAUAUUGCAUAUGAUAUAGCGUACCCUCAUUGUACGGAUAACUCCUCUUACAGUUUUCAAGAUAAGAAGUUGUUCUUUUGCAGAUCAAUUAUACAUAUAUCAGAGGUGUGCAUAUUGCUAGGAUUUUGAUUACUGAUAA
Long non-coding RNA from Magallana angulata, 1144 nucleotides. RefSeq lists it as uncharacterized. The record is from RefSeq and is a predicted model, not a curated record. NCBI's taxonomy places the organism in Eukaryota, Metazoa, Mollusca, Bivalvia, Ostreida, Ostreidae. The transcript has 2 exons.